Long non-coding RNA from Bos taurus (domestic cattle), 1338 nucleotides. Lineage: Eukaryota; Metazoa; Chordata; Mammalia; Artiodactyla; Bovidae. The record is from Ensembl.
CUUAACCGUCUCUGGCUCAGGAAAGCCCUGCAGACCCUGGGGCUGCCCGAAUGUGGGCAGCCAUGAAGAUUUCGGCCCACACACAUCAGCCUCCAAAGCCCAGAAGCUUUCCUUCAACUAGCGGCAGGAGGAAAGGAGGACUUCAGGGGUCGUGACCACAGCUUCCAGCUUUAUGUAAACACACAUCUUAGUGUCCUAGAAAUGACCCAGAACUGUGAGCUGCGGGCGAAGCAAAGUGAGGGCCCCCCCAGCUUGCUUGCCCUCGUCUCGUGGGCCCAGGGCAGAGCCUGGCACCCCAUCUCGGCUUUGCUAAGACCAGCUGGGGACUGUGCUCAACACUACCUCAGGGAAGAUUCUGGUACUGCCCUGACAGGGACCCUGUCCUCACCCCGCCCACAGCUGAGCCCUGGAAUCUGACCAUCAGAGCCCCUUCCCUGGGGUCUGGAUUUUGGUCCCUGGUCACACUUCUGGUCCCCAGGGAAGGGAUGCUCUUUACACUGUGAUGAGGGUUCUGUACCUCAGGGUAAGGAAGCAACCAGAUGGCAGUUUCCACCAGGGGAAGAGUGAUGGGAGGGUUUGAUGGGAGAGCGACUCUGCCCAUGAGAAUGCUCGGGGGGUCGGGGUCACCCAGCAGCUGCGCCUCCAGAGUGACGGCACAGCCCACAGUCACCUUCGAGCCUGCGGUUCUGCCUGACACCGAAGACUGUGCUUCUCUGGGUUUGAAUAUGAUGAACCAAGCGGAUUAAAUCAGAGCAAAGUGCCCGUCACCCUUUUCUCACUGUAUUUCUCUCUGUGCUGCUCCUCGGGCGUCUUUCUCAUACAUACUGGGUGCUUCCGUCUGAGUCAUCCAUGAGAGCAUAAGAAAUGCCCACGGUCAGGCCCGUGAUCUGCCCAGCUUCACCAGCGCAGAGCCUGGCAAUACCCUGCAUCUGCUGGACGCUUCCCUCUGAAACCGGCUGGGAACACCCCCUCGGCAAAGUCUACUAUGAAUUGCUCCUAACAUGGGUGUCCAGUAACAGAACCCAUCACCUACUGGCCACAGCUUGUUCUCCAGACACUGCUAAGCAUUCCCAUGCUUUCUUUCACUGGAUCCUGGUAACAGACUGGGAAGAACCUCUGAUCACCCCACUUUCCAGGGCCAUCCACGCAGAAUGGAUUAUGUGGCCUCUGAACUGAGGGCUUGGGGCCCAGUGAGACACAGGUCUGUAACCAGAACAUAGAGGUAAUGAGCCCACUGGUGACUGGAAGCCCCUCGUGGUGAUGGCGGAGGACUGGCUGGCCGCACUGCUGGGCCUGUGCCUGGACGGGGCUCCAGCCAUGGGUGGGCUGUGGGAGCGG